RNAcentral lists this ribosomal RNA (448 nucleotides) under uncultured bacterium. RNAcentral describes it as "bacterial SSU rRNA". It matches the Rfam family "Bacterial small subunit ribosomal RNA", at positions 331 to 793 of the family's 1533-position model. The record is from RNAcentral.
CCAGACUCCUACGGGAGGCAGCAGUGGGGGAUAUUGGGCAAUGGGGGAAACCCUGAUCCAGCGACGCCGCGUGAGUGAAGAAGUAUUUCGGUAUGUAAAGCUCUGUCAGCAGGGAAGAAAGAAAUGACGGUACCUGACCAAGAAGCCCCGGCUAACUACGUGCCAGCAGCCGCGGUAAUACGUAGGGGGCAAGCGUUAUCCGGAAUUACUGGGUGUAAAGGGGGCGUAGACGGUGAUGCAAGUCUGGAGUGAAAGGCGGGGGCCCAACCCCCGGACUGCUUUGGAAACUGUAUAACUGGAGUGCAGGAGAGGUAAGUGGAAUUCCUAGUGUAGCGGUGAAAUGCGUAGAUAUUAGGAGGAACACCAGUGGCGAAGGCGGCUUACUGGACUGUAACUGACGUUGAGGCUCGAAAGCGUGGGGAGCAAACAGGAUUAGAUACCCCGGUAA